UAUUAUAAAAUAUAAAAAAAAAAAAAGAAUUUUUUUUAUUUAACUCUAGAUCCAAGCCCAUUUAUUUUUAUUUAACCUAAUUUUCUAUUAUAUAUAUAUACUAACAAUUACUAACUUUGGGGGCAGGUACAAAUUCCAACCCUAACAAUUAACCCUAUUUUUUGAACCCUUAUUUACAAUCUCUCUCCAUUCACGUAGAAAUUUCACAAAAAACAGUCAACCCGAUUUCUAACCCCUUCCACCAUUCACACGUACAACAAAUUUCUCAGUCACACUGUACAUAUUUUAACCAAGGAUCUCCACCUUUUCUCCCUUUCUCCAUCACGUGAAUAUAAUUGUCCACACCAAAACUUUAACCAUUCACGCAUCAUAAAACGUUCAGACAAAUUCAAUAACACAAGUCUAUUGAAUCAUUCAAUCCUAUUAAACAAUUGCAGCAACCUUUGUUCAUGUUUUCUUGCAGUUGCAGAUGCGAAUCGGAAAGGGAAGAAGAAUCUAGGGAGCAUAAUCAUGACACCGCUCCGAUCACAAGCUCAGACGAAGCCAAGCCGGUCUCGGUGGACAAGACACAUAGAUUCGUCGGCAACGACUUCGACGUAACUACACGAUCCUCCGCUGACAACCGCAACCCCCACGGAAACGUCAUGAUGUCCAAGCACCGCCGGAUCUAGGCCGUCCAACCACCAUGCGCGGAACCGAUCGCAAAAAGCUCUGGCCGACAGCCUCAAAACUGCCGUUCCAACACGAUUUCCUCCAUGGAUCUCCGAUUCGGAUCCUUCCACCGCCAACACAGAAAUAUGACUGCACGGUACAUUUGCUGUUCAUCUAUUCUCAUGGAUAUUUGCAAAUUCAUCAUCAAUCUCCGCCACUGGAUCUCGCUAAUUCCAGAUUUAAAGGUCCUGAAAGCGCUGUCCACCAUGCACCUGCAGGAACCUUACCACACAGGAUCCACGCCCAGGGUUACCCCCGAGGCUUUCCGCCAACCAUAUCAUAUCAAAUUCGAAGCUAAGUUCCUUUUAUUAUUCUUUUAUUUAUUAAUUAUUCUUUUUACUUUUAUGGUUGAUAAAGUUCGCCUUCGAACCGAUAAUGCACUCACUCUCUGUUUUCUGUCUCUUCUUUUUCCUUUUCAAGAUUUGUCAAAUGCCAAAGCUACGUCGUUGGUAACCCUAAACCCUAUUUUAUUUUAUGGCUUUUAUUAUUACUUGUGCCAAACCCUGUUGGGGAUCCGCUGGUUUCACUUUCCCCUCCCCUUUAUUGCUUUAUAUACUACGUGGUUAGUAAUUUAGGGAGUCAAAUUUAAACUGGAUUAGAGUCACUAAUUACAAGAUAAAUAACUGAAUUGAACCACAUGAUUGAUGCACACACGCACUCUUUUGGGGUAACCUCUCUGUUGCCUUGUUGCCUGUUGCCUUGUUGCCUGUUGCCUUUGUGUUUUUUUUUGCAGAAUAAGCCAUGUCCCUCGAAUACGAGGAUACCUCAGCCAUGCUGCCUCGAUAAAUAAAGGUCAUGCGACCCUAAAUGAUGCUGCCUUCGAUACACAAAUAUGACCUCGACCCUCGGAAGUUGCCUACGGAAAAGGCUGAGGUAUCCUCUGGUUGCCUACGAAUAAGGCUUAUUCUGAUCCUUACCUUAGACUACCUGCCCUUCUAUGGCAUGGGACAGUCUUAUGGCAAAGGAUGUUUCGACGACCCUUCAACCUCCAAAGGAAAGGCUUCCUGCCCACUUAUGGCAAGGAUUGACCCUUUCAUUCUGAAAGGCUAAAAAGAGACCUAUCAUCUGAGUUUAAGGUAAUUGCCCCUAAUUGCCUUGCCAUGCUCUAUUUUCUAUAUUCUUUCUCAAAAUUCUUCAAAAACUGGCUACGCUCAUUUUACGAGCUAAAGUCCAUUUUUUCCUCUUUCAUCUACAUUUUCUGAAAACGAGCAAGCAAAGCAAUUAAGAGCCCAUGGAAAACCAUGGAUGCAAAGGGUGCCUUACACCUUCCCUUUGCAUAAAUUACCCCCCGAACUUAGAUUUCUUUUAAAGGUUUUUUCUGUUUCUUUUAGCCUUUCUGAAUUUGUUUGGAUAAAAUAAAAGUCGGUGGCGACUCAUGCUUAACCGCGACAUUUCGAUCGAUAAAAAGUCAGUUCACCGUAUUACAGAACUGGCGACUCUGCUGGGGAAAAUUCGAUAAAAGAGGGGUUACCUUGAAAGUUUAGGAAUCACUUAAAUGUUUUCUAUUGUUUAUUUUGUUUGUUUUAUUUUUCAGGGGCGUUUUGGGAAAAUUGAAGGACGAAUCCUAUUCCCGGAUUCAAGAACACUUAAGUUUAGGAGUGGCAUAGUCAUGGAGGCCUCUUUCACAUAUGUGGGAGAUGAGUCAAUAUGAAGUUCACGCUUGAGUUAGGACUCCAUAGCAUAUGCACACCUUUCUCAAAUGAGGGAGGUCUAUGUAUGUGUCUGUGGGUGCGCCGGAGCUCAAGGACCUUUAGUUACCUUUAACCCAUCCUGGCCUUUAGGAACGUAGUGGGGGGACUACUCUUGACAAAUGUUGAGAACUAGUCGCUACCCGAUGCUACAAUUCAGAUAGGUCCUUUCUCAAAGUAUCAUUGCAUGGUGCAAAUGCAUCAUGUCCGAGGGUGCUUUAGAAGGGCUGACAAUUCUGGAUAACUUGUAGAACCCGUUGCUGAAAUCUCCUUAUCCAUAGAAAUACCCUUGGGAAGGACACCUGAUCAGACCCCAUGCAAGCCUUAAGCCAAAAAUUGUGUGACUUGCGUGACUUGCCUGUGUUUGCUACUAACCUUCGUUUCCUUGCAGGUUUUGUUAAAAGGACUUGUUUGUCCUUACUAUCUCCCACUAUGUCUAAUGAACUUCAUUCGCAUAACAUCAUGACAUCAUAAGCAUAACAUAAUUAACUAACCCUUUCAAGGAUCUUAGGAAUUUAGGGAGCGCAAUUUCAGGUGCUCUUAUCAAGGACCGAAUUCCCAAUCAAGUGGCAAGAGGAUUUAUUUUCCUCUGGCCACAUACCUUCCAAUUCAAAGACACAAUACCUAUCAAGGGGCAAGAGGAUUUAUUUUUCUCUAGCCAUAUGCUUUCAAACUCAAAAGUAUAAGUAUCCCGAAUCAGAGGCUAUGACCCACUGGAUAUGGUGAGCUUGAUUCCCAUGGAAGAACAUCCAAGAAUCAGAGUUCUUCGAACAAAGAUGCGACCAAACCAUUUUCUGAUGUUGCUAACCAAAUUCCUAAAGAUCAUUGAAAAGAUUGCAUUUGCAUUCAUAACAUCACAUAAAACUAACUUUUCCUUUCAGGUCGACCAACUGGUCAGAAAAAUACCAUCAACAAAUCAAUCCUAAUCAGAUGAACAUUCUGGAAGCUUGAUCCCCAGACUUCUGAAACAUUCCAAUCAGAUGAACAUUCUGGAAGCUUGACCCCCAUACUUCUGAAACAUUCCAAUCAGACAUACAUUCCGGAAGCUCGAACCCCGGACAUUCUGAAAGUUCCAAUCAGAUGAACAUUCUGGAAGCUUGACCCCUAGACUUCUGAAACAUUCCAAUCAGAUGUACAUUCCGGUAGCUCGAACCCCGGACAUUCUGAAACAUUCUUAUCAGAUACACAUUCUGAAAGCUCGAACCUCGAAUACUCUGAAUCUCUAUGCUAGUUCCACAAAGACGCAAGUCAGAUGCACCUAAGCGUCAGUUCACGAAGGUCAACAUGUCACUGGCUCAGGCAUUACAAUAUUUGUUGAAAGCAAACUUGAUUACUGUGAGGGAUCCUCCUGUAAAGCCCAACACUUCCGCUCCUAGCUAUAAGCCCAAUGCGAGGUGCGCAUACCAUUCCAAUAGCCCCGGACAUGAUACAAAUGACUGUUGGCCAUUGAAGAACAAGAUUCAAGACAUGAUCGAUGCUGGUGAAAUUGAAUUCAAUCAUCCCAGGGCUCUAGUGGUGAUCACCGCUCCCAUUCCUAGUCACGACAAGACUGACUAACGUCUAAGUGGAUGAACUUUUAAUCAUUAGCUUUACUUUCAUUUGCAAUUUCAAUUCUGUUUGUUUAAACAUUCGAAUUAUGAUAGACAUUAUCUAUUUUAAUAAUCAUCAUCAGUGCAUUGCAUAUGUUUGUCUUGAAUAAAUUAUUUCGCUAUCACUCAUCUAAACUACAUCUUUACUUUGCAUAUGUUUUGUGAUACUCAACUCCUGCUAAGCUGUAAGCCUUUUGAGGGAGGAUGAAGAAAACGAUACCGCAACCUCAUACUGUAUGCUUUUGAGCAGACUAUGCUGACGAUGUACAGGCAUUGUUUCAAUUCCUAAACAGUGGAGAUAUAAGGAUGUUAAUCCCUCGUCAACCCCUUUGAGCCUAAGGAGUAGAAGUUUCUUUCUUGUACUAAUUAAAACCCUUGAUCAUAACCUGGGGCAGGGUAGUUCUCAGUUAAUUUGGCUGUGCAUUCUAUUUUAAGAGAAUCAUUCAGUACACCUUUCAACAAAGGUCUCAAUCACAAACGUUCAACCGCACACAUCAAAGAAGUGUUGGAAAUGUCAAUCAAAAGACAAUGACGGUUCAUCAAUCAUCAAACAAGGCAGUCAAUAUCUUUCAAAAAAAAAUGGAAAAAACAUAUAUACAAAGAAAAGCCUGCUAAGUCAAAAAUCAAAAAGAUGGCUUAGGCAAAAAUCAAGGCAUCCCGCUGACUGUAAGCUCAAAAGAGACAGUUCAGGCAAAAGUUAGGGAUAUCAAAAGAUGAAAGAAGAGAAGUCAAUAAAUUCCUGAACAACACAAUGUUGUGACUACCAAAAGGAAGAAGUGACUGCCAUCUCAAAAGUUCUCUCUGCUUGUAAACCAUCAUCAUUAUCAAAGGUGCAAAUCCAAAAGUCUCUUGGAACCUGAAUGCAUAAGUCGAAUCAACUGAGCUUAGGGUUGAAGAUCAUCACGAAGAGGGGUGGGUACAAUCAAAUUUUAAGCCUUUGUCCUAUGUUUCUUAAACCGUGAACCAAGCCACGUUACAACCCUUGAAAGUCCUAAUUGAAGCAUGGUUAGUUCGAAAGCAUACUGUCACCAAAAGGUAUCCUGACUCCUUAAGGUUUACCAUCAAUGCUGAGUUGAUAUCAAGUUUUUAUAAACAUCACAUUGUUACAAAUAUCACGUUUUUAUAAACAUCACGCUUUUACAUCUCCUGUUUUAAUGUUUUUUAACAAAAAUCAAGACAAACGUAUGCAUUGCAUCUCAUGAAUUCAUUAUUAAACAUAUUCUGCUACAUAAUUUCAAAAGUUAGCAUCAGAAAGAACUUGCACAGGGUACAACUAAUGACUGAAAGUUAUCCCGACAGACAAAAUUAUUCCGAAAAGCAAUGUCUCCUACGUAUACAAGGGGCAUGGCACGCUUCGCCCAAUCCAUCUGGGGCAAUCAAGUCAAGAGUCGAAGAAUCUCUCAAAAUGCCAAAAAGUCAAAGGCAUACAUCCCAAGUGGACUUAAAACUAUUUCCCGAUCAAUCUGGGGCAAUCAAGUCAAGAUUUUGAGAAUCUCUCAAGGGCGCCAAAACAAUCAGGGGCAUGCAUCCAAAUAGAUCUGAAGCUACUUCCCAACCAACAUGGGAUAUUGUCUUUGGUCUAUGAUUACUAGGGGCAUGUCGCCCAUAGUACGCAUCUCAUAAAGUCCUCGCGAGGCAAAUCUUUCCAAGUUCCUACUAGCAGGGGCAAACCUAUGCAAGGCCAGUUUGACACUUCGAUCAGUAUUUAUUGGUGUGUCCUAAUCAAUACAAAUCCAUUAAUGGCAGCUAUAAUACCGGGGGCAACUCUCAAGACACCCAUGUCCCCCCACAGAGCCAGGUUCAUAAAAUCACAUCCCCACAGAGCAAUCCUUCAAGAAGAUAUCUUCAAACAUACUCGUCCCGACCAAUACAUGGCUCCCCAACAGAGUUGACAUCUUCAACACCACCGACACUUUGUUCUUCUCCAACAUGGCUUACUAAUAUCUUUCAUCCCCAGUCAGGAUCCAUCAAAUUACUAUUCAUCCCCAAGCAGAAGUCAUAAAUCCCCGGCUACAUCUCUUCAAAACAAGAUCAAAUCACAAUGAUACAGAGAUUUAUUUUCUCAGAACAACAUCAGUCAGGCAUCAUAUACAUCACAUGCAUAUUCAUACAUUGCAGGCGAUUACAAUUCAUACAUAACAUACAAAGCGUUCCAUUUAUUUUGAGAACUCCAUCUCAUUCAUUACAUACAUCAUAAACAUUGCAUAAAACUGACAUUGUUCCCAAGUGAAUAUUAUCUGACAGGUACAUUACAAAGAUUCGAAUCUUAUUCAAAGCCUAACGCACGGCAUUCCAGACAUCUACGGAUGCAAUUUGGAUUAGUCUAACGCACGACUCAUCCAUCAGCCUAACGCACGGCCUUCCAGACAUCUACGGAUGCAAAUUGGGUAGUCUAACGUACGACUUAUCCAUCAACCUAACGCACGGUUUUCCAGACAUCUGAGGAUGCAAUUGAGAAUAGUCUAACGCACGAUUUAUUCUUCGACCUAACGCACGGUCUUCCAGACAUCUACGGAUGCAAAUUGGGUAGUCUAACGUACGGCUUAUCCAUCAACCUGACGCACGGUUUUCCAGACAUCUGAGGAUGCAAUCAAGAUUAGUCUAACGUACGACUUGUCUUCAGCCUGACGCACGGUUUUCCAGACAUCUGAGGAUGCAAUCAAGAUUAGUCUAACGUACGACUUGUCUUCAGCCUAACGCACGGUUUUCCAGACAUCUGCGGAUGCAAACUAGAAACAGUCUAACGUAUGACACAUUCUAACUCUCGAGCUUAUCAAGUCAGAUGGCGUCUUUAAGCCCAUCUCUAAACAACUACUCCUAAAACACUUCAGUCUCAACAUCUGGAUGGCAUCUUUAAGCCCAUCUCCGACAAAAGUCCCUACUUCAGCUAGGGCAAAUUUCUUGGUAUUCUAGUGUUCAAUCAUCUUCCACCUUCAGAUUCCGACUGACACACAAGUCAAUCUACAUCCUCAGGUUUAAGAAGAUUGAACAGGGGCAGCUGUCAUACCCCAAAAUUUGCCCACGAGUUCGAAUCCCACUACUGACAGUUUUUUUUUCUACUAACUUAACUUCCAUUUUUAAAUUACUUUUUCUUAAAAAUCACAAAAAAAAAGAGGUUUUAAUAUUUAAAUGGUAUUUUCAUACUUUUAUUAUUUAUUGCUUAUUAAAAGAUGUUUUUUACUUUAUUCACAUUUUAUUCAAAAAAACAAACAAAAAAAAUCAUAAAAUAAUAAAAAGAUUUAAAAAAAUAGUUUUUUUAUAUAUAUAGUUAAGUGUUAAUCUUUGUUUUAUGCGCACUUUAGGUAAUAUUAUAAAAUAUAAAAAAAAAAAAAAGAAUUUUUUUUAUUUAACUCUAGAUCCAAGCCCAUUUAUUUUUAUUUAACCUAAUUUUCUAUUAUAUAUAUAUACUAACAAUUACUAACUUUGGGGGCAGGUACAAAUUCCAACCCUAACAAUUAACCCUAUUUUUUGAACCCUUAUUUACAAUCUCUCUCCAUUCACGUAGAAAUUUCACAAAAAACAGUCAACCCGAUUUCUAACCCCUUCCACCAUUCACACGUACAACAAAUUUCUCAGUCACACUGUACAUAUUUUAACCAAGGAUCUCCACCUUUUCUCCCUUUCUCCAUCACGUGAAUAUAAUUGUCCACACCAAAACUUUAACCAUUCACGCAUCAUAAAACGUUCAGACAAAUUCAAUAACACAAGUCUAUUGAAUCAUUCAAUCCUAUUAAACAAUUGCAGCAACCUUUGUUCAUGUUUUCUUGCAGUUGCAGAUGCGAAUCGGAAAGGGAAGAAGAAUCUAGGGAGCAUAAUCAUGACACCGCUCCGAUCACAAGCUCAGACGAAGCCAAGCCGGUCUCGGUGGACAAGACACAUAGAUUCGUCGGCAACGACUUCGACGUAACUACACGAUCCUCCGCUGACAACCGCAACCCCCACGGAAACGUCAUGAUGUCCAAGCACCGCCGGAUCUAGGCCGUCCAACCACCAUGCGCGGAACCGAUCGCAAAAAGCUCUGGCCGACAGCCUCAAAACUGCCGUUCCAACACGAUUUCCUCCAUGGAUCUCCGAUUCGGAUCCUUCCACCGCCAACACAGAAAUAUGACUGCACGGUACAUUUGCUGUUCAUCUAUUCUCAUGGAUAUUUGCAAAUUCAUCAUCAAUCUCCGCCACUGGAUCUCGCUAAUUCCAGAUUUAAAGGUCCUGAAAGCGCUGUCCACCAUGCACCUGCAGGAACCUUACCACACAGGAUCCACGCCCAGGGUUACCCCCGAGGCUUUCCGCCAACCAUAUCAGAUCAAAUUCGAAGCUAAGUUCCUUUUAUUAUUCUUUUAUUUAUUAAUUAUUCUUUUUACUUUUAUGGUUGAUAAAGUUCGCCUUCGAACCGAUAAUGCACUCACUCUCUGUUUUCUGUCUCUUCUUUUUCCUUUUCAAGAUUUGUCAAAUGCCAAAGCUACGUCGUUGGUAACCCUAAACCCUAUUUUAUUUUAUGGCUUUUAUUAUUACUUGUGCCAAACCCUGUUGGGGAUCCGCUGGUUUCACUUUCCCCUCCCCUUUAUUGCUUUAUAUACUGCGUGGUUAGUAAUUUAGGGAGUCAAAUUUAAACUGGAUUAGAGUCACUAAUUACAAGAUAAAUAACUGAAUUGAACCACAUGAUUGAUGCACACACGCACUCUUUUGGGGUAACCUCUCUGUUGCCUUGUUGCCUGUUGCCUUUGUAUUUUUUUUUGCAGAAUAAGCCAUGUCCCUCGAAUACGAGGAUACCUCAGCCAUGCUGCCUCGAUAAAUAAAGGUCAUGCGACCCUAAAUGAUGCUGCCUUCGAUACACAAAUAUGACCUCGACCCUCGGAAGUUGCCUACGGAAAAGGCUGAGGUAUCCUCUGGUUGCCUACGAAUAAGGCUUAUUCUGAUCCUUACCUUAGACUACCUGCCCUUCUAUGGCAUGGGACAGUCUUAUGGCAAAGGAUGUUUCGACGACCCUUCAACCUCCAAAGGAAAGGCUUCCUGCCCACUUAUGGCAAGGAUUGACCCUUUCAUUCUGAAAGGCUAAAAAGAGACCUAUCAUCUGAGUUUAAGGUAAUUGCCCCUAAUUGCCUUGCCAUGCUCUAUUUUCUAUAUUCUCUCUCAAAAUUCUUCAAAAACUGGCUACGCUCAUUUUACGAGCUAAAGUCCAUUUUUUCCUCUUUCAUUUACAUUUUCUGAAAACGAGCAAGCAAAGCAAUUAAGAGCCCAUGGAAAACCAUGGAUGCAAAGGGUGCCUUACACCUUCCCUUUGCAUAAAUUACCCCCCGAACUUAGAUUUCUUUUAAAGGUUUUUUCUGUUUCUUUUAGCCUUUCUGAAUUUGUUUGGAUAAAAUAAAAGUCGGUGGCGACUCAUGCUUAACCGCGACAUUUC
Long non-coding RNA from Vicia villosa (hairy vetch), 9386 nucleotides. RefSeq lists it as uncharacterized. NCBI's taxonomy places the organism in Eukaryota, Viridiplantae, Streptophyta, Magnoliopsida, Fabales, Fabaceae. The record is from RefSeq and is a predicted model, not a curated record. The transcript is spliced from 3 exons.